CGGGAGGCAGCAGUGGGGAAUCUUAGACAAUGGGGGCAACCCUGAUCUAGCCAUGCCGCGUGAGUGAUGAAGGCCUUAGGGUCGUAAAGCUCUUUCGCCUGUGAUGAUAAUGACAGUAGCAGGUAAAGAAACCCCGGCUAACUCCGUGCCAGCAGCCGCGGUAAUACGGAGGGGGUUAGCGUUGUUCGGAAUUACUGGGCGUAAAGCGCGCGUAGGCGGAUUAGAAAGUUGGGGGUGAAAUCCCGGGGCUCAACCCCGGAACUGCCUCCAAAACUGCUAGUCUAGAGUUCGAGAGAGGUGAGUGGAAUUCCGAGUGUAGAGGUGAAAUUCGUAGAUAUUCGGAGGAACACCAGUGGCGAAGGCGGCUCACUGGCUCGAUACUGACGCUGAGGUGCGAAAGUGUGGGGAGCAAACAGGAUUAGAUACCCUGGUAGUCCACACCGUAAACGAUGAAUGCCAGUCGUCGGAUAGUAUACUAUUCGGUGACACACCUAACGGAUUAAGCAUUCCGCCUGGGGAGUACGGUCGCAAGAUUAAAACUCAAAGGAAUUG
This 552-nucleotide ribosomal RNA is filed under the name uncultured bacterium. RNAcentral's name for it is "bacterial SSU rRNA". It matches the Rfam family "Bacterial small subunit ribosomal RNA", at positions 342 to 912 of the family's 1533-position model. The record is from RNAcentral.